This 425-nucleotide ribosomal RNA is filed under the name uncultured bacterium. Its description in RNAcentral is "partial 16S ribosomal RNA". It matches the Rfam family "Bacterial small subunit ribosomal RNA", at positions 354 to 796 of the family's 1533-position model. The record is from RNAcentral.
GUGGGGAAUCUUGCGCAAUGGGCGAAAGCCUGACGCAGCCAUGCCGCGUGAAUGAUGAAGGUCUUAGGAUUGUAAAAUUCUUUCACCGGGGACGAUAAUGACGGUACCCGGAGAAGAAGCUCCGGCUAACUUCGUGCCAGCAGCCGCGGUAAUACGAAGGGGGCUAGCGUUGCUCGGAAUUACUGGGCGUAAAGGGCGCGUAGGCGGACAGCUUAGUCAGAGGUGAAAGCCCAGGGCUCAACCUUGGAAUUGCCUUUGAUACUGGCUGUCUUGAGUUUGGGAGAGGUGAGUGGAACGCCGAGUGUAGAGGUGAAAUUCGUAGAUAUUCGGAAGAACACCAGUGGCGAAGGCGACUCACUGGCCCAAUACUGACGCUGAGGCGCGAAAGCGUGGGGAGCAAACAGGAUUAGAUACCCCAGUAGUCC